UCUAAUAUGGCAGAAUAGUGCCAUGGAUUUAAGCUUCAUAUAUAAAGAAUUAACCUUUUAUUAGAA
This 66-nucleotide transfer RNA is filed under the name Taeniochauliodes attenuatus. RNAcentral's name for it is "tRNA-Leu". Lineage: Eukaryota; Metazoa; Arthropoda; Insecta; Megaloptera; Corydalidae. The record is from RNAcentral.